This 492-nucleotide ribosomal RNA is filed under the name uncultured bacterium. RNAcentral describes it as "partial 16S ribosomal RNA". It matches the Rfam family "Bacterial small subunit ribosomal RNA", at positions 29 to 507 of the family's 1533-position model. The record is from RNAcentral.
AGCGAACGCUGGCGGUAGGCUUAACACAUGCAAGUCGAACGGCAGCACAGUAAGAGCUUGCUCUUACGGGUGGCGAGUGGCGGACGGGUGAGGAAUACAUCGGAAUCUACUUUUUUGUGGGGGAUAACGUAGGGAAACUUACGCUAAUACCGCUUACGACCUACGGGUGAAAGCAGGGGAUUUUUGUACCUUGCGCAUUGGAUCGAGCCCAUGUCGGUUUAUCUAGUGGGCGGGGAAAAGGCCAACCAAGGCGUAGAUCCGUACCUAGUCUGAGAGGGGGAGCAGCCCCACGGGAGCUAAGGGCCAGUCCGGGCUCCUGAGAGAGGCAGCAGUGGGGAGUAUUGGAGAAUGGGCGCAAGCCUGAUCCAGCCAUGCCGCGUGAUUGAAGAAGGCCGUCGGGUUGAAGAGGCCUUUUGUUGGGAAAGAAAAGCAGCAGGUUAAUAACCCGCUGUUCUGACGGUACCCAAAGAAUAAGCACCGGCUAACUUCGUG